CCUACGGGAGGCAGCAGUGAGGAAUAUUGGUCAAUGGCCGGAAGGCUGAACCAGCCAAGCCGCGUGAAGGACGAAGGUGCCAAGCAUUGUAAACUUCUUUUGUCAAGGGACAAAAUCAUGCUCGAGAGCCUGACCGAGGGUACUUGAAGCAAAAGCAUCGUCUAACUCCGUGCCAGCAGCCGCGGUACUACGGAGUAUGCGAGCGUUAGCCGGAUUUAUUGGGUUUAAAGGGUGCGUAGGCGGACUGUUCAGUCAGCGGUAAAAGCCCGGGGCUCAACCCCGUCGUGCCGUUGAAACUGAUGUUCUUGAGUGGGCGAGAAGUAUGCGGAAGGCGUGGUGUAGCGGUGAAAUGCAUAGAUAGCACGCAGAACUCCGAUUGCGAAGGCAGCAUACCGGCGCCCAACUGACGCUGAAGCACGAAAGCGUGGGUAUCGAACAGGAUUAGAGACCCCUGUAGUC
This 459-nucleotide ribosomal RNA is filed under the name uncultured bacterium. RNAcentral describes it as "partial 16S ribosomal RNA". It matches the Rfam family "Bacterial small subunit ribosomal RNA", at positions 338 to 795 of the family's 1533-position model. The record is from RNAcentral.